AGCGAACGCUGGCGGCAGGCCCAACACAUGCAAGUCGAACGAACUCUUCGGAGUUAGUGGCGGACGGGUGAGUAACACGUGGGAACGUGCCUUUUGGUUCGGAAUAACUCAGGGAAACUUGUGCUAAUACCGAAUGUGCCCUUCGGGGGAAAGAUUUAUCGCCAUUAGAGCGGCCCGCGUCUGAUUAGCUAGUUGGUGAGGUAACGGCUCACCAAGGCGACGAUCAGUAGCUGGUCUGAGAGGAUGACCAGCCACACUGGGACUGAGACACGGCCCAGACUCCUACGGGAGGCGGCAGUGGGGAAUCUUGCGCAAUGGGCGAAAGCCUGACGCAGCCAUGCCGCGUGAAUGAUGAAGGUCUUAGGAUUGUAAAAUUCUCUCACCGGGGACGAUAAUGACGGUACCCGGAGAAGAAGCCCCGGCUAACUUCGUG
Molecule: ribosomal RNA, 433 nt
Filed under: uncultured bacterium
Lineage: Bacteria
Description: partial 16S ribosomal RNA
Rfam family: Bacterial small subunit ribosomal RNA
Source: RNAcentral